GCAACGAAUCUUAAAGACUACAAUGUAGCUCUUGGAAUAUAUAUUGCAUCAAUAAAGAAGGAAAAAACCCGCAACAAUUCAUCAAUUUUAGCUGGCACUUCUGAGGCUGUUUUGGCGGUGACGUGCACCUGUGUUCGGGGACUGAAACUGUUGAAGGCUCAGUACUGCAGUGAGGACAGAUGCACCAGAGAGGCAGGUUGAGUUAUACCGAUGGGCCCUGCUGCACACCUAUGCAGAUAGUUCUCCAGCUCUGCAUAUAGACUCCUCUGGUGCACGAUUACAAUCACACCAUAGGCUUCACCUGAACCCAAGUGAUCCGCACUCCAGCACCUCUGCAAGCCUGCCAGGGCAAACGAUCAAGGAUUUGGUUUGAAUAAUGUGAGCUUGGGGAAACAACAGUCAAGAAGGGUGAACGAAGACACUCUCUCCGUCUAUCUCACGAGCUCUAUUGUUCAGAUGCUUUGCUGAAAUAUAUUGAUCAAAGGUAACUUUUCAGCCAAGCCGGAUUAGUCCAAGUGUGACCCUGCCGAUAAAUCCUCUUUUACAACUUCACAAGAGGUGCCCUAUAAUCCUCCUGCCCUUGACCUUUGGCCAGCAAUUCGGCAACUUCCCACUUAUGCCUCCUGUCAUCCAAUCCAAACCACGAGGGUCAAAGUCCUUCCCAAAUAAAACAAUUUUCAAACCGCAUGCAUUAUAAAUGCCUCUUUUCUCCAUUCCAAAUCCUCUCUGACCUCAAACCUUAUAGAGGUGACAAAAGGAAGAGUGUGUGCUUGCUGAAAGGCUUUGGGCUUCAUCGGCUCCCUACUAAUCAAAUCAGACUCUUCUUCCUUCGCCCUAAUGUGGGUUUUUUAAUUGUGUUACGGGCAGGGUCAGGAAGAUGGGUCUUUUAGAGGCAAUAACAAGGGCACGGAAAAGAAUAUAUCGACUGUUGAUGUUGGGCAGAGCUGGUACGCUCUAGGCGUUGUUAUGGCAAUAACCACAUUAAGGCACAUCUGGUCCAAGCUACAGCACAGACAUUAGGAGAGGAUGAAAUUGAUGAUGCAGAAGUGAAAAACCUGAUUCAGGUCAAGAAUUGAUCAAAAAUGAGAUACAUUGUGGUUUAAGGAACAUGUUAAAAGAGAUGGACCAAGAGAGGUGUAUUGAACCUGUCAAUUUACGUGCCAUCAGAAUAUGAAUAAUGCUUUUUAAAGGUGUUGUUUCACAGAAUAAGGCACCAGUGCUAAUUUUG
Non-coding RNA from Misgurnus anguillicaudatus (oriental weatherfish), 1228 nucleotides. The record is from RefSeq and is a predicted model, not a curated record. NCBI's taxonomy places the organism in Eukaryota, Metazoa, Chordata, Actinopteri, Cypriniformes, Cobitidae.